RNAcentral lists this long non-coding RNA (314 nucleotides) under Panax ginseng (ginseng). RNAcentral's name for it is "long non-coding RNA (PGIN_LNC007604)". Lineage: Eukaryota; Viridiplantae; Streptophyta; Magnoliopsida; Apiales; Araliaceae. The record is from RNAcentral.
UUAGAUAUUUGACUAUGUUAAUGAUCGUUUAUGAUGUAAUGACUGUUAGAGAUGUGUGAUAAUGUGACUAGACUAUGUGCUGACUGUAAUAGACAGUACUAUGUGUUAUGAUAUAUUGUUCUAAUCGAACGAAUGAUUUGAUUAAUGAUAGGUUGUGAUAUAAAGAGAUAGAACCUAAGUUGAGAUUUGUAAUCAGCGAAUCAGGCAAGUAUCCUACCUUUGCAUUUUCUUUAUGCAAUGGACAUGAGUAAGAAGUUUCAGAAUUCUUUUCUAUUCCUGUACAGAUUAUGUACGCUUUGAUUAUCAACAUGUUA